AUUGAACGCUGGCGGCAGGCUUAACACAUGCAAGUCGAGCGGGGUGAUGGUGCUUGCACUAUCACUUAGCGGCGGACGGGUGAGUAAUGCUUAGGAAUCUGCCUAUUAGUGGGGGACAACAUCUCGAAAGGGAUGCUAAUACCGCAUACGUCCUACGGGAGAAAGCAGGGGGUCACUUGUGACCUUGCGCUAAUAGAUGAGCCUAAGUCGGAUUAGCUAGUUGGUGGGGUAAAGGCCUACCAAGGCGACGAUCUGUAGCGGGUCUGAGAGGAUGAUCCGCCACACUGGGACUGAGACACGGCCCAGACUCCGACGGGAGGCAGCAGUGGGGAAUAUUGGACAAUGGGGGGAACCCUGAUCCAGCCAUGCCGCGUGUGUGAAGAAGGCCUUACGGUUGUAAAGCACUUUAAGCGAGGAGGAGGCUCUUUUGGUUAAUACCCAAGAUGAGUGGACGUUACUCGCAGAAUAAGCACCGGCUAACUCUGUGCCAGCCGCCGCCGUAA
Molecule: ribosomal RNA, 503 nt
Filed under: uncultured bacterium
Lineage: Bacteria
Description: partial 16S ribosomal RNA
Rfam family: Bacterial small subunit ribosomal RNA
Source: RNAcentral